UUACAUCAUGUAUGUACACAUCUGGUUUCAACUGUAUAUCGUUAUCGAAAUAUACUGUAAAUUACCUGCAGUCCUGCUCACCUUUAUUGGCAUGAAGUUUAAUUAAGUACAAAAUGCGGAAGAUCUCCUGAAGAAAAUGAAUCAACUGAAACAUUUUUCUAUAGAGAACCUGUGUUUGACACAAAACAGCAAAUGAUAAUUUUAUGGAUAGAUUAAAAAAAAUAGAGCUUUUUGACAAUGGACACAAACAGUAUAGUUUACAACGGCGUAGAAGCCUUUAACUCAUUUAGUGCCUAAGACGUAUUAAUACGUAGUUUAGAAACCAUCUAUUGAGCGUCGAGCACAUAUUUUUACAUACUUUAUAUUUUUUAUUAGGAAGGUGGAGAACAAGGCCUCUUGCAGCUGGACAGUGAAUAUCAAGCUUGUGAAUGGAUUAAUUGCAGUGUAAUCACCAGCAGAGGGCAGCAGUGCCUUUGAUCAGAAUUCAGUCUUGUGCAUGAGAAGAAGCCACUUGAGCGGAAGUGGAUUGUGGAGUAGGAUUGUGUAGUAGCGUGGAUGAGACAACGUGGAGCUCGAGAGAAUAAUAUGCCAAAUUUCAGACAACUGACACUCAGAGAGAGUAUUCUCAAAGCUACAGCUUUGUCAUCUUUGACAAAUGCCGAUGGCAAUCGGAAGGUGGAGAAAAGGAUGACGCUUCGGGGUCAAGGGGAGUGUAAAAAAACCACAUCGAGCAAGAAGAGGCACAUGGAGAGAUUGCGUCUAGCUCACGGUGCAUUCCGUGUGAGCCAGUGUUUUCUGAUUUUGACUCGGAUGAUGAAUUGGACAUUGAACCGGAUUCCUCCGAUGAUUAUGUGCCUUCUUCGGAUGUGACUGAGAGCAGCAGGGCAUCGUCCCCAGACCCUUCAGAAAGUCAUGAAGGAGAUAAGCACUUACUCACGAGCAAGCUAAUUCUCAUAGCCUGUAAAAAAAAAAAAUAAAUAAAAAUAAAAGUUUACCCUCUAUCAGUGCAUGUCUCAUGCUAGAUGAACUGGUUAGAUGGAUUUCUUUAUUUUAUUUAUUUAUUUAUUUUUUUAAGUUAUAGACUGGAGAGCAUUAAAAAACUAAAUUUGGUCCGGUCAUUUCUGCUAAAACCACUGAGUCAAUUAAAUGAGCAGCAAUAAAUUAUAACAAAUGACUGGGCCUUGUCAUGCUUCCUAAAGCAUCAUGGGAAAUAUAGUCCAUUGCUGUCAAACUUAAUCUCUUCUCACCAAAUGCAAUUAAAUGCGAUGGUUCUCCCUUUAACUUAAAUUUUACACCGCUCUUAUGAGUUUUUAUUUUAUAAUCUUAAUUGAUUAAUCCUCCGUUUUUAACAAAUAAUAUGAGCUCUCAAAUAAAUUCUCAACAUCCUCUCCGCCGAUAAACUGCAGUUAAUCUAAAUUCCCAAAGGAUGCAAAAGCUGGCUGGGUCUCCGCAGUACAGUGCCUGAAGUACUGCGAACUGCACAUGACCUCACCAGGCCAUCAUAAACUGGAAACCUGGACAGUUCCUCAAUUCUUCCCAGCCUUGGAGUGUUGUCCUCUCCAAGUGUAACAUCCCCAACAUUCAGUGGCAAAGACUGUGGGGUGUCACAGUGAUGUGCUGACUUUAACUCCAGGAGAUAUUCUCUCCGCCAUCUGUUCCAGAAGUUGAUCAUAGGUCUUUCUGUGUACCACCACCUCUGUGUCAUCUGCUCCUUGUUUGUUGUUGGAUGGUUAAUGUCAGCUAGCAAUUACUUAGGUGGUAGGUAGGGUUGGGCACCGAGAAUCGAGAACCGAUCGAAACCAGGACUAACGUUCGGGUUCUCCCGGAACCUUUCAAAUGUAAAAAUUUCGGUUCCCAGUUUCGAUGCCAAGUCCUCCAGCCGUGAAGAAGUGGCGAAAAGCAACGAAGAAGCGGCAUAAACCAACGAAGAACAACACGCACUAUGACGUGCUUGUGCCCAAUGGCGGUGGCGGCGAACAGAAAUGUGUCUUAACUUUGUUCAAAUGAAUGACCAGUCGCCUCAGUGCAACACUUGGAAUAAGAUUAUAUUGUAAAAAGGAGUUUUUCCCGAUGUGUAGCGUCUGAUGCGCUCCGAGCCUCAGCCUACACCGCGCGGAGCUUUAGUGAAGUCAACUCUCAGUCAAUUGUCUCACAGUAUCACAAACACUAACCUUGUGCCUCAUUGGUGGGUAGGGAAAGGAAUCAGCGUUUUAUAGCAUUUAUUUCCAUCAAUUUGAAAAAAAAAAAAAAAAAACAAUCACCGGUGCCGUGUGAAGUUACUUUUCGUGCCAGAAUGUGCUGAGUUCCAGUGUGUACGCUUCAAAAUAAAAGGCUACAAGCUUAAAACAAGAAGUGAAGUUAAAACGUGCACAUAUAAACCAUUUGACGUGAUGAAACAGAAUACAGGGGCAGCUAUAUAGCAUUGUUAAAAUAGCUAUUUUAACAAUGCUAUCAGUGAAGUCAACUGGGUGAGUGAAACAAUAAAAUAAAAGUUAAAACAUUUACAGUAACUAUUUUAACAAUGCUAUAUUUAACAUUUAGCUGAAACAUGAAUUCAUGAAUAUUAUAUUAUUAUGAGGUUAUAAAGAACCUCGAGUCAAAUGUUCAUUUUAGUCUAUGAAAAUGGAUGUUCAUAAUUUGGACCUUUGCAAACCUUUUUGACCCAGCUCCCUAAAAGAAUCGAGAAUCGUUUGGAACCGGAAUCGCUCAAAUUCAAACGUGCCCAACCCUAGCAGUAGGUAAGUCAGUCUCUGUCCCACUAAGACGUGAGCAGGUGUCAGUGGCUGCGGCUCAUCCACAUUAUGGUGGACGUAGUUGCGUGGUCUUGAAUUAAUUGCAGCCUCACUUCAGUCAGAACGUUGCAAACUUGAGUUUCGCUCUGCCAAGCACUUUCCUGAGAAUGAUUUUGACUGACCUUACAAGCCUUUCCCAGAAUCCGCCCCACCAGACCGCUCUUUCAGCGAUGAACUGCCCUUUUCUGAGAACUCUCGCACCUGUGGAUCUUUUAAUGCUUUUCUAUAGCUCCUUUAAAUCCUGAUCAGCUCGCUCGAAUGUCUUGGCAUUGUCCGAGUAGAUCACCUUACAUAAUCCUCUUCUUGAGAUGAUCUUCUCUGUGGACAAAUCGGAGACCAUCUGUAAAUGCACUGCUUUGGUUACAGCACAUGCGAAGAGUGCGAUGUGUGACUUUGUCAUGGAGUUCUGUGUUUUUACAUAAUGUGGCCCUGCAAAUACUGUGAUCUCAUAUGGUGGCAACUGUUAUUCUGUCCUUUGGUAGCGGCGUAAUUGUCUGUUGCCCUGCCUUUGCAUUGAACCUUUUGCAAAGUACACAUCUUGACACAACCUUCUUGACCACUUGCCAUGCCCUCAAAAUCCAAUAUCUCUCUCUGAUUUGCACUAAAGUGUUACUUACACUUGCGCCAUCUCAUGUUGAUACUGCCCCAACAUUUCUGUGUAUUUGUGGUCUUUGGGCAAAAUCCAUGGGUGUUUUUCUCUGAAAGAAAGCUCAGAAUUCUGGAGCCUUCCUCCACACUGAGCAGCUACUCUUCAUCCAGAAAUGGUUUAGUUCUUGGAUUCUGGAGUUUCUGUUGAGGCAUUUCCCUGCUCUCAGAAGAUAAAUUAAAAUCUGGAUCUGAAUCACAUUAAUCCCGUAUUUCUCCGCUUCAUCCAGCUCCUCUACUCUUAAUUCACCAUUUGUGUGCUUGAGCAAGUGUUGGUGAUUAAUCCAGGCUGUCACUUGGAGUACUGUCUCGAGUUUUCUGUACUUCUCCAAGCAUAACACUGGUUUUAAGAACUCUGUAUCUUGCUUGACAAAACUGUACAGCAACCUGGUAUUUGGAUCUGAGUUCAGUAUUCAGCUCACCUUCCUGAACAUCGUCUCGAGUACUCUCUGACUGCUUAGGUGAUAUCAGAACACAAGGCCCGCUCCACCACAAUGGUCUCUGCUUCAGGUCCUGCACUGUUAUACCUCUAGUGGGAAGGUCAGAUGGAUUCAUUUUUCCUCUGUAGUGUGACCAUAAUUGUGGAUUGGUCAGAGACUAAAUUUCAGUCACCCUGUUGGAUACAAAAGGCUUCCACUUGUGAGCAGAACCAGAGUAGAACAUUAGCGUUCUGACGUCACUGCGGCUAUCUUGCGCGCAGUUUGCCUUUAUACUCGAGUGCAACCCACGUACACUGUUUUGAAAAUGUGCUGCAGUUCUCCUCCAAGUCGGAGGUGUCGCUACAACUGGUAUUGGCUAGGACACCACAGGGUAGAGUUUCCGCUGCAUUUUAUUGUAAAUACCGGUAGGCGUUUUUACUUUCCGGAACAAGGAGCAAAGCAACAACAAUGGCGGCCGUGGAACAGUGGGUGCUGGAACAAAUGGACCUAGAUCAGUGGUCCUCAACUACCGGUCUGCGGACUGGUAACGGGCCGUGAGGCAUUUGUUACUGGGCCGCAGUGAAAGAAUGACCAAUUCAUAUAAUUUCUGUUGUAUUGCAAUUCACGUGUAAAUGUGUUUUAUUUUGAAAAUUGACUGGAAUUUCUCAGACGCAACAGCUGCGUGUCUCAAUUGACACAUCAAGACUGCACAGAACGCUUCCGUUUCCCGUCCCAGCCGGCUCGAACGCUUCUGUUUCUGGUCCGAGCGGGCUGGCUCACGGCGGCAGAGCUCAAAGAACGAAAUCAUUUCAUAAAAUAAUUCAGCUCAUUACGUUUACUGAAAAGAUUUGUUCUUUUGAACGAAACAAGACUAUAUCACUUAAAAUAAGGGUUUAUCGCAACAGUUAACUCUCACGCACCAAGUCCACUCUGAUAUAGAUACGGUCGUAGGUUUCUGCUCGACACAGGCAGAACUACUUUUACGGAGUUAAAAGUCUACUCUCAUUGAGGAGCUACGGAACUGCAGUCUGGUCUGGCUGCCUACAAAAACUCUGACCCCCCCCACUCCUGCAUCCACAGAGGACGCACCACGAAGGAGGAAGCAGAAGCAGCGCAAGCGUGCAGGUGCCAUGAGUGGGUAGAAAAGGAGCUUCCCUGAAUUGCUCUGUCAUUCACAAGCAAAGAUGGGGCGAGGUUCACCUCUUUGUGAACAAGUUCAGAGAAUCUGGAGAAAUCACUGCAUGUAAGCGGCAAGGCCGAAAACCAACAUUGAAUGCCCGUGACCUUCGAUCCCUCAGGCGGCGCUGCAUCAAAAACUGACAAUGUGUAAAGGAUAUCACCACAUGGGCUCAGGAACACUUCAGAAAACUAAUGUCAGUAAAUACAGUUCAGCGUUACAUCCGUAAGUGCAACUUGAAACUCUACUAUGCAAAGCAAAAGCCAUUUAUCAACAACACCCGGAAACGCCGCCGGCUUCUCUGGGCCCAAGCUCGUCUAAGAUGGACCGAUGCAAAGUGGGGAAGUGUUCUGUGGUCCGACGAGUCCACAUUUCAAAUUGUUUUUGGUAAUUGUGGACGUCGUGUCCUCCGGGCCAAAGACGAAAAGAAUCAUCGACACUGUUAUGGACGCAAAUGGUAUGGAGCUGUGUUAGUGCCAAUAGCAUGGGUAACUUACACACAAAAUGUAAUCAAUGUAACGUUUUCCCUCCUUGUCAUGUUUCCUAAAGCAUCAUGGGAAAUAUAGUCCAUUGCUGUCUAACUUAAUGCAAUUAAAUGAGAUGGUUCUGCCUUUAACAUAAAUUUUA
This is a long non-coding RNA of Phyllopteryx taeniolatus (common seadragon), 5660 nucleotides long. RefSeq lists it as uncharacterized. The transcript has 2 exons. The record is from RefSeq and is a predicted model, not a curated record. Lineage: Eukaryota; Metazoa; Chordata; Actinopteri; Syngnathiformes; Syngnathidae.